Molecule: ribosomal RNA, 391 nt
Filed under: uncultured bacterium
Lineage: Bacteria
Description: bacterial SSU rRNA
Rfam family: Bacterial small subunit ribosomal RNA
Source: RNAcentral
AACGAACGCUGGCGGCGUGCCUAAUACAUGCAAGUCGAACGAGAAUAUGUAGCAAUACAUUAGUAAAGUGGCAGACGGGUGAGUAAUACAUAGGUAACCUACCUCAAUGUUGGGGAUAACCUUCCGAAAGGAGGGCUAAUACCGAAUAAGACCACAGGAACUACGGUUCAAGGGGUUAAAGGCGGCUUCGGCUGUCGCAAUGAGAUGGGCCUAUGCACCAUCAGCUAGUUGGCGAGGUAACGGCUCACCAAGGCUUUGACGGUUAACUGAUCUGAGAGGUUGAUCAGUCACACUGGAACUGAGACACGGUCAGACUCCGUACGGGAGCAGCAGUAGGGAAUAUGCGCAAUGGAAGGAAACUCUGACGCAGCGACGCCGCGUGGGUGAUGAA